GGGCGUAUGGUGUAGUUGGUUUAUCACGCCCGCUUUGCAUGCGGGAGGUGUUGGGUUCAAUUCCCAAUGCGUCCA
This 75-nucleotide transfer RNA is filed under the name Pleurotus ostreatus PC15. RNAcentral describes it as "tRNA-Ala (TGC) (tRNA-Ala-TGC-2-1)". It matches the Rfam family "tRNA". From Rfam's summary of the family: Transfer RNA (tRNA) molecules are approximately 80 nucleotides in length. Their secondary structure includes four short double-helical elements and three loops (D, anti-codon, and T loops). The record is from RNAcentral. Lineage: Eukaryota; Fungi; Basidiomycota; Agaricomycetes; Agaricales; Pleurotaceae.